This 17-nucleotide small RNA is filed under the name Arabidopsis thaliana (thale cress). RNAcentral's name for it is "ATSL185280". The record is from RNAcentral. Lineage: Eukaryota; Viridiplantae; Streptophyta; Magnoliopsida; Brassicales; Brassicaceae.
UUUUUUGAUUUUUUUUU